This is a long non-coding RNA of Alosa sapidissima (American shad), 355 nucleotides long. RefSeq lists it as uncharacterized. The transcript is spliced from 4 exons. The record is from RefSeq and is a predicted model, not a curated record. NCBI's taxonomy places the organism in Eukaryota, Metazoa, Chordata, Actinopteri, Clupeiformes, Clupeidae.
UCGCUAUAUCUUUAUAUGUCUCUAUGUCGCUAUAUCUCUCAAAAUCUCUCUCCUCACAAAAAACCCACAAAGAUAGGAUGUGUUUGAAUGACUUUUAAGCAUUCUGGGACUUUGUAAUUUAGAUCAAACAGGUGUUUAGGCUACUCGGGUAAUUGGCUCGCGCAGCAAGUGUGCCACCUGUCCAAACCAAAUUGAAACACCACGAAGCCUCACUAAGCCAUGGUCACGUGACAUGGGUGUUUUGAACCACACUUCGAAACACUGUUCGAAACACUUGCGUUUCGGAAGCUCGACACUGUUUCGAAACGUCAGCUUCGAGCGUCACAUCCCUAUUGCUAAGGAGUUGCGGCUCCUG